Molecule: ribosomal RNA, 253 nt
Filed under: uncultured bacterium
Lineage: Bacteria
Description: partial 16S ribosomal RNA
Rfam family: Bacterial small subunit ribosomal RNA
Source: RNAcentral
UGCGUAGGGGGCUAGCGUUGUCCGGAUUUAUUGGGCGUAAAGAGCGUGUAGGCGGCCAGAUAGGUCUGCUGUGAAAACUCGAGGCUCAACCUCGAGCUGUCGGCGGAAACCAUUUGGCUAGAGUCCGGAAGAGGAGAGUGGAAUUCCUGGUGUAGCGGUGAAAUGCGCAGAUAUCAGGAAGAACACCUAUGGCGAAGGCAGCUCUCUGGGACGGUACUGACGCUGAGACGCGAAAGCGUGGGGAGCGAACAGG